This 25-nucleotide non-coding RNA is filed under the name Arabidopsis thaliana (thale cress). Lineage: Eukaryota; Viridiplantae; Streptophyta; Magnoliopsida; Brassicales; Brassicaceae. The record is from RNAcentral.
GGGUCCAUAGCUCAGUGGUAGAGCA